RNAcentral lists this ribosomal RNA (774 nucleotides) under uncultured Neocallimastigales. RNAcentral's name for it is "partial large subunit ribosomal RNA". It matches the Rfam family "Eukaryotic large subunit ribosomal RNA", at positions 20 to 616 of the family's 3401-position model. Lineage: Eukaryota; Fungi; Neocallimastigomycota; Neocallimastigomycetes; Neocallimastigales. The record is from RNAcentral.
UACUAGAGUAGCACUCGCAUAUCAAUAAGCGGAGGAAAAGAAACUAACAAGGAUUCCCCUAGUAACGGCGAGUGAAGCGGGAAGAGCUCAAAUUUGAAAUCUUAAAGGGUUUCCCUUUACGAAUUGUAGUUUAAAGAAGUGUUUUCUGUUGAGGUUUUGGUAAAAGUUCUUUGGAAUAGGACAUCAUAGAGGGUGAGAAUCCCGUAUUUGACCUUUACUUUCAACUUUGUGAUACACUUUCAAAGAGUCGGAUUGUUUGGGAAUGCAGUCCAAAAUGGGUGGUAAAUUUCAUCUAAAGCUAAAUAUUGGCGAGAGACCGAUAGCGAACAAGUACCGUGAGGGAAAGAUGAAAAGAACUUUGAAAAGAGAGUUAAACAGUACGUGAAAUUGUCAAAAGGGAAGCGUUUGACACCAGUGUUGUUUUUCUGAAAAUCAAUUAAAGAACUGUUUAUGCUAAGUUGUUUAGACUUUAUCAGCUAACUGUUUAGUUUUGAGCUUUUCUUUAAUGCACUUUUCAGUUAACAAGUCAACAUCAAUUUCUUUUGCUGUAAAAAAGCUUGAGGAAGGUGGCUUGAGAUUCGUCUUAAGUGUUUAUAGCCUCUUGCCUAUGCAGUCGGAGAGAUUGAGGUCUGCAGCGUAGAUCCUUCGGGGCUAAAUGCAUUUGUGCUAAGUUAUAGCAAUUUAUAGACAACUUGUUGACUAUGAUUUGUCUUGUAGCUUACUCGCUUAUGUUAUUUUACCUACGCUUAGGAUGUUGAGCGCAUGUCUCUCUCU